RNAcentral lists this ribosomal RNA (253 nucleotides) under uncultured bacterium. RNAcentral's name for it is "partial 16S ribosomal RNA". It matches the Rfam family "Bacterial small subunit ribosomal RNA", at positions 524 to 776 of the family's 1533-position model. The record is from RNAcentral.
UACAGAGGUCUCAAGCGUUGUUCGGAUUCAUUGGGCGUAAAGGGUGCGUAGGUGGCGGGGUAAGUCAGGUGUGAAAUCUCGGAGCUCAACUCCGAAACUGCAUUUGAUACUGGCGUGCUUGAGGACUGGAGAGGAGACUGGAAUUCAUGGUGUAGCAGUGAAAUGCGUAGAGAUCAUGAGGAAGACCAGUGGCGAAGGCGGGUCUCUGGACAGUUCCUGACACUGAGGCACGAAGGCCAGGGGAGCAAACGGG